AAAUUCCAGAGGUGAAGGACACGCUCACAUUUUGCUCAUCAUGGCAGAAGAUGUAAGGAAAUUCACACGUAUGCUACUGGAAUGCAGCAGCAAUGACCAACUAUGUGUUGUGCGUGAAUACCAGACUGAAGUGAUCAUCAUUCCAGUUUUCUUGGUGGGCAUCUUUGUUAUUGUGUUAAGUGUGAUCCUUUGGCUCCGUUACCAAAGCUGGAAGACAAAUUGGCAGCAGCGGCAGCAGCAGCAACUGGUACUGCCUGGACAUGAAGUCAAGAGAGAGAGUCAGCAGGAGCCAAAUGCCUCAGGGAACUCUUACAUUCAGCUGAGUGAGACAACGGUGGAGAGCCUGCUAAAAGCUGCUGCCAUGACACUGAAGGAGCUGCAGAUACCCCGAGAGAGACUCACACCGGGCUCCUUGAUGCUGAUACACACCGGCAGCUAUGGGAGCAUCUACAGAGCAGAACUGCAGACUGAGAACCCUGGGAAGACUAAGGCAGUCAUCCUGAAAACCUUGCAGGACACAGCUGGACCCCAUGAUGUGAAGGAUUUCCUGGGGAGGAUUAAGUUCCAUCAGUCAUUAGGCCAGCAUGAGAACCUGGUGGAACUGGUGGGGUGUUGUAUAGAUCAGCUGCCGCUUUAUAUGGUCCUGAAGGAGUCAUCUCUUGGGGAUCUCUUGAACUUCCUGUGGGUCUGUCGCAAGGAUGUAAUGACAAUGGAUGGUAUCCCAUAUGACCUCACUGAGAAACAGGUCUAUAAGGUUGGGCAGCAAGUUGCAGCAGCUUUGGAUUUUCUCCAGCAGAAGCAACUUGUCCAUGGUGACAUCGCUGCCAGGAACGUCUUGCUCCAACAUGACUUCACUGCCAAACUCUGUGGGCUAGGCCUAGCCUAUGAAACCCACACCUAUGGGGCCAGGUCCGUCACACAGAUUGUGCCACUCAAGUGGCAGGCACCGGAGCGACUCCUGAAGAGACCUCCCAGCAUCAAGGCAGACAUAUGGUCCUUUGGAAUCUUACUGUAUGAGAUGAUUACAUUAGGGGCUCCCCCAUACCCUGAGGUGCCACCUCCUGACAUCUUGCAGCAUCUGCAGAGACGGAACAUCAUGAAGCGGCCCUCCAGCUGCCAGCCAGUCAUGUAUGGCAUCAUGCAAGCCUGCUGGCAAUGGAAUGCAACUGACCGGCCCUCCCCUGCAGAGCUGCUCCAGUACCUGCAGAAAGCAACUGAGACCAGCAAUGAUCAUGCUGUGCUGCAGGUGCCUGAACUGGUGGUGCCUGAACUAUAUGCCAAUGUGGCUGGCAUUGAUGUGGACAGUCUUACCACCGACUACACUGUUCUGUGAGAGGGAGGUCUGUGCAUAUAGGAAGGAAUGGAUCUCCUGCCUCUUUCUGGGAGUGUAUGCUACCACUCUUGCUGUAACUCAGGGUGCUGGUUGGGAAACAUUCCCCUCUUUUUAAAAUGCAGAACAUAUUUUGGGUUCCUUCUGCUUGAAGCUACUUAGUAAGAACUGCGAGGGUCUCGUGGUUCACCACCGUGGACUUCAAAAACACAUCCUAUGGUACUCAAACUCUUCUGUAUAUUGUGAUCAGCUACCCUGAAGGACACAUGAGCCUGAAACAGUUGUUUUCAUUGGCUCAUGGUGGUGUUCAGUUAGGAAGCUGAACAAAUGCUGCUGGAUAUUUGAGUGGAAGACAUUUACAACCCAGAAGCACUCCCACAGCAUGAAGAGCAUUUAGAUGGUAGAACAAUUUCUGUCAACCUUGACCUUUUUCCAUUUGUGCAGCUGAGGAAGAAGAAGCAGCUACCUGCAGCUCUGGCAGGUAUGCAGCGAGCACAUGAAGGCUGCCUACAUGUAUUUUCAGAAUACAGAUACCAAGGGUGGAAAGGAAUUGUUCUUGUUCCGAGGAAUGUAAUUGGAAAGAAACUGAAUGAAAGGGAAUGAAAGGAAAACUGAUGCUGACAAUCAUGAAACAUUUCCAAAAUGGAAGGGUUUUAGGACAUCCUGCCAAAGGAGUGUUGGAAGCUCCAUUGCUUGGAUAUUUAAAAGAUACCCUGUAGAAUAAAAUUCAGCAUCCAGCACUGCAGGGACCCAAGAGAUAAGAAAGUGGAUGGAUGAGAUGAUAAUCAAAUAAGUAUAUUUUAUCUCAUUUAUUGACUGAAGGGCCAUCCCAUUCAGACCACUUGUGACACUGCUCGUUAAUUGUUCCUCAGGUGCUGUAAGCCAUAGCCAAAUGCAGGAAAAUGUGCACUUUUAUUGUGAUAAGACAAAAUAGCCAUGUGUUACGGUUUGGAAUAGAAAUUGCUGUAUUCAUUUACUACAUUUUUUUUUUUUUAUGCAGGCCUAUUUCUUGUUUGUGGGGUUUUGGAUUCAAAGGCCCACUCCAAGGUAAAAACAGCAACUACAAAAAACUCUACCCUGCCUCAAAAUCUCAGGGAAAAUUUUGACUGAGAGCUAAUUCUCAGGGAAGGAAUGUGGCGAAGGUUUAUUUCACUUUAUUUGGACAGAACAGGUGACUUAUUUGUAUGUUUCUCCUUCCACACCCUUUCCCCCAGGAGUACUUCCAAUUUCAGUCAUGACACAACUACUGUGAAAAGGGCAUGGGGAUGAUGUAGGUACAACAGAAGAUUGGGCUACUGUGAAAAUCACCUGUGAUGGAGAAUAACUUGGUGACGACAUCACUGUACAGAUAGAGUGGUAACAGGCCAUAGUUUGCAAACAUCACGUUGUGAAUAGUGUGGUGAGGAUAUGCCUUCUGUGGGAGUAAUACAAUUCUGUGAUUAUAUAUAUAAUGUGUAAUUACCAUGGCAAUGAGAUAUUAUCUGUUAGAACAGCAUGCAACAUGUCUAAUCUCUGAGCAAAGUGCCAACACCUAGAUAUGGUAGGUCCAGAGGGAGUGCAGUGGUGGGAUUGUACCCUGCUUUCUGGACCAUGCUGUAGGAACAGCAGUCUGCAAAUCAGGAAAGAACCCAUCCCCUGCCCACUCUUGGCGCACCCUUUCUUCCCUUCCAUGCUCAAUGGCACCCCCCUCUUUCCUCCCAUUUCCUGGUCCCUCUCUCUACUCAUGCAUAUGGUGCAGGAAGGGGUCAGGGAGUUCCUGCCCACCACCACUGUUCUGGCCACCCUUGCCUUGCUACAGCUGGGUUGCAUGGGAAGUGGCUGGGUGGGGAGCUGGGCUUGGCUAGGGACAGUAGCAGUAGGAGGUAGUUUCCCCUUCUGGAUCUAACUUAUCCAUUUAGGUGUUCUGUGACAACACAAAUGCUCUGGAAAUAACAGAUGAUGAAGCCAUGUUCAACUACCAUGUUUGACGUCAUGAUUCAGUAUAAAAUAAGUGUGACAGAAGGCUUUGACCAGAACACUUAACUUAUAUGGUAUCUGUUGUACAAAUGGACACUUAUUGUAUAUUUCAAGCCUUGCCUACAUUAUAGAUUCUAGUUACUGUAGCUAAACCACUGAUUUUACACUUACGUACUGGUAAUUUAGUUAAGAUAAGGGUUAACUGCUCCUGUUUAAUCCCCACUGCAUUAGUGUAAUUUGUGUCCACACAAGGGGUUUGUUCCAGCACAGCUAUGUUAAUGGCUGAAAUCUUAAUAUAUGCCUAGUUUUCUUCAUGCCAACUGCACCUCCCAGGUGCCUGCGGAGAACAGGGUUAAAUCUUUUCGAAUAAAUAUAUUAUGGAUUUGU
RNA transcript from Gavialis gangeticus (Gharial), 3673 nucleotides. It is a transcript of the gene named serine/threonine/tyrosine kinase 1, with no coding region annotated. The transcript has 10 exons. The record is from RefSeq and is a predicted model, not a curated record. NCBI's taxonomy places the organism in Eukaryota, Metazoa, Chordata, Crocodylia, Gavialidae.